This 27-nucleotide non-coding RNA is filed under the name Homo sapiens (human). Lineage: Eukaryota; Metazoa; Chordata; Mammalia; Primates; Hominidae. The record is from RNAcentral.
UCCGCACAGUGUUCAUGUUGAGUAGGC